Molecule: unclassified non-coding RNA, 182 nt
Filed under: Rhizophagus irregularis
Lineage: Eukaryota; Fungi; Glomeromycota; Glomeromycetes; Glomerales; Glomeraceae
Description: partial internal transcribed spacer region
Rfam family: Eukaryotic small subunit ribosomal RNA (bases 1-46)
Source: RNAcentral
AAGUCGUAACAAGGUCUCCGUUGGUGAACCUGCGGAAGGAUCAUUACCGAUUUUUAGCGGACCUGAUCUUUGAUCAUGGUCUCGCGAAAACUUGUAUUUAAAACCCCACUCUUAUAAAUUGAAUCAUUUUAUAUGUAUAUAAUAAAUAAAGAUCACUUUCAACAACGGAUCUCUUGGCUCUC